This 86-nucleotide transfer RNA is filed under the name Anaerolineae bacterium. RNAcentral's name for it is "tRNA-Ser". It matches the Rfam family "tRNA". From Rfam's summary of the family: Transfer RNA (tRNA) molecules are approximately 80 nucleotides in length. Their secondary structure includes four short double-helical elements and three loops (D, anti-codon, and T loops). The record is from RNAcentral. Lineage: Bacteria; Bacillati; Chloroflexota; Anaerolineae.
GGAGGGAUGGCCGAGUGGACGAAGGCGCCUGUCUUGAAAACAGGUAAGGGUAUCCCCCUUCGAGGGUUCGAAUCCCUCUCCCUCCG